Non-coding RNA from Melanomma pulvis-pyrius CBS 109.77, 72 nucleotides. Lineage: Eukaryota; Fungi; Ascomycota; Dothideomycetes; Pleosporales; Melanommataceae. The record is from the annotation of a GenBank genome assembly.
GUUUGCUUGGCAUAGUGGUAAGUAUGUCAGCUCGUUGCGCUGACGACGCGAGUUCGAUUCUUGUAGUGUGAG